Molecule: long non-coding RNA, 249 nt
Filed under: Rattus norvegicus (Norway rat)
Lineage: Eukaryota; Metazoa; Chordata; Mammalia; Rodentia; Muridae
Description: long non-coding RNA NONRATT011305
Source: RNAcentral
GUAACUUUCGCUCAGAUUGUUACGGCCUCCCGGCAGUUUGUGAUCUCUUUGCCUGUAUGCAGCUUAAAGUUGAUAAGGACAAAUGGCUGUACAGAGCCCCUCUUCAGGUAGGUGCUCUGAAGUGCAGUGCUCACACAUGCUUGCUUCUCACCAGCUCACGUUCGCCUCCAGUGAACCAGAGUCCUGUUUAUUUGUACGUGAAUAAACGUCUCUUCAACUUAAGGAACUGUGUGCUAGCAAAGUAAAGAU